This 173-nucleotide long non-coding RNA is filed under the name Macaca mulatta (Rhesus monkey). RNAcentral's name for it is "lncRNA (ENSMMUG00000056829.1)". The record is from RNAcentral. Lineage: Eukaryota; Metazoa; Chordata; Mammalia; Primates; Cercopithecidae.
CUAGCCUAAGGUGAGGAGAGACAAGGUCAGUGCACUCCAAGGCAAUCAGUUUCCAUGUGUUCUGUGAGACAUGCUCCCAAUGGGUUUGAUACAAGGACAGCACCCCUGGGAAUCUGGUGGCCAAGCUUGGGUCGAGAACAACAUUGCAUCCCAAAGACAUCACUCAGGACAUU